GAUGAACGCUGGCGGCGUGCUUAACACAUGCAAGUCGAACGAAGCACUUUAUUUGAUUUCCUUCGGGACUGAUUAUUUUGUGACUGAGUGGCGGACGGGUGAGUAACGCGUGGGUAACCUGCCUUGUACAGGGGGAUAACAGUUGGAAACGGCUGCUAAUACCGCAUAAGCGCACGGCAUCGCAUGAUGCAGUGUGAAAAACUCCGGUGGUAUAAGAUGGACCCGCGUUGGAUUAGCUAGUUGGUGAGGUAACGGCCCACCAAGGCGACGAUCCAUAGCCGACCUGAGAGGGUGACCGGCCACAUUGGGACUGAGACACGGCCCAAACUCCUACGGGAGGCAGCAGUGGGGAAUAUUGCACAAUGGGUGAAAGCCUGAUGCAGCGACGCCGCGUGAGCGAAGAAGUAUUUCGGUAUGUAAAGCUCUAUCAGCAGGGAAGAUAAUGACGGUACCUGACUAAGAAGCACCGGCUAAAUACGUG
This 481-nucleotide ribosomal RNA is filed under the name uncultured bacterium. RNAcentral describes it as "partial 16S ribosomal RNA". It matches the Rfam family "Bacterial small subunit ribosomal RNA", at positions 28 to 507 of the family's 1533-position model. The record is from RNAcentral.